GACUCGUCACACUAUCAUUAACUGAAUCCAUAGGUUAAUGAGGCGAACCGGGGGAACUGAAACAUCUAAGUACCCCGAGGAAAAGAAAUCAACCGAGAUUCCCCCAGUAGCGGCGAGCGAACGGGGAGGAGCCCAGAGCCUGAAUCAGCAUGUGUGUUAGUGGAAGCGUCUGGAAAGGCGCGCGAUACAGGGUGACAGCCCCGUACACAAAAGCGCAUGUGCUGUGAGCUCGAUGAGUAGGGCGGGACACGUGGUAUCCUGUCUGAAUAUGGGGGGACCAUCCUCCAAGGCUAAAUACUCCUGACUGACCGAUAGUGAACCAGUACCGUGAGGGAAAGGCGAAAAGAACCCCGGCGAGGGGAGUGAAAAAGAACCUGAAACCGUGUACGUACAAGCAGUGGGAGCACAGGUUUACCUGUGUGACUGCGUACCUUUUGUAUAAUGGGUCAGCGACUUAUAUUCUGUAGCAAGGUUAACCGAAUAGGGGAGCCGGAGGGAAACCGAGUCUUAAUUGGGCGUUAAGUUGCAGGGUAUAGACCCGAAACCCGGUGAUCUAGCCAUGGGCAGGUUGAAGGUUGGGUAACACUAACUGGAGGACCGAACCGACUAAUGUUGAAAAAUUAGCGGAUGACCUGUGGCUGGGGGUGAAAGGCCAAUCAAACCGGGAGAUAGCUGGUUCUCCCCGAAAGCU
RNAcentral lists this ribosomal RNA (691 nucleotides) under Salmonella enterica subsp. enterica serovar Butantan. Its description in RNAcentral is "partial 23S ribosomal RNA". It matches the Rfam family "Bacterial large subunit ribosomal RNA", at positions 137 to 867 of the family's 2925-position model. Lineage: Bacteria; Pseudomonadati; Pseudomonadota; Gammaproteobacteria; Enterobacterales; Enterobacteriaceae. The record is from RNAcentral.